CAGUCAGUAACUGUGAAAUCACAAUAGCAUCUGAGAUAUUUUCAAGGUGCUACCUACAGUCUCCAUGGAAGCAUUCUUCUGGCUUGUCACUUGAGUCCUGUCAUGGUUUAAGACUGCAUUACAGUUUGGAGACUAAAUGGAUUUGGAUACCAAAACGCUCUAAUCCCAGAUGUACACAAUUUUAUGAAUUACACUACUCCCCUUUUCCAUGGGAGAGGCAAUGAGGUCCACGAAGAGAGUCUGGCAGGGAAGAGGUUGGUCAUAUUUGGUCUAUGUUCAUUGAAACAAAGACAAUUAAAGCUAGUGGGGUUAUGUGGACAGCUAUGCUAAACAGGUCUAACUCAUACAACUGCUACAGAUCCAGAACACCAGCUCAUCUUAUUGCUCCUGGAUUUGGAAACAAACUUGGAGCAAAUGCACAUUACAGUGAAGAAUCAGAAUGUCCCAAGUUAUUAACUGGUGUAAGACAGAUAAGCUGAUUUUGCCAGUAAAGAAUGCAUAUAUUUCACCUCCUCUAAAAUGAGUGAUGUAUGAAAUGAAGCCUUGGAUUUAAAUUCUAAAUUUCAUGAAAUGUACAGAAGCAUGAAUUUGGUGCUCAAAGACUGAUUUCUAGAAGAGCAGAAGCCUUCACACCACGUAAAACACAGAAGUCCCACUGAAAACACAUGCAUUCUGCCUGCAAAGCCCCACGUAUCAAGAUUUCAGUGAGGGUAAUUGCAAGUCAUGACUGGAGUCAAAAUUAAUCUGCUAAACUACUUUUCACAUGUAUUCACAAUCUGUGCACUAGCAAUACCAGACAAUUUAGAGAUUUUCAAGUGAGCAGUUAACUGACUUGGAUUUGUAAACACUUAAAAAAAAUUCUUGCAACUUAAGGAAAUCUUAUUAUGAUUGGGGGAAAAUUCCUAUCCUUUCUCCUCAUACGAGGCAGCCAGAAAACUUGAAUGCUUUAAAUUCCUUGAAUUUAAAGGAGCUUGAGAUGUGUUUUGAAAUAAUAAAUGCAUUUCCUCUUCCUGUCUCUAUUCCCA
Molecule: long non-coding RNA, 1025 nt
Filed under: Anser brachyrhynchus (Pink-footed goose)
Lineage: Eukaryota; Metazoa; Chordata; Aves; Anseriformes; Anatidae
Description: lncRNA (ENSABRG00000007394.1)
Source: RNAcentral